AUACAUGCAAGUCGAGCGAGCGGACCAACAGAUUUACUUCGGUAAUGACGUUGGGAAAGCGAGCGGCGGAUGGGUGAGUAACACGUGGGGAACCUGCCCCUAAGUCUGGGAUACCAUUUGGAAACAGGUGCUAAUACCGGAUAAUAAAGCAGAUCGCAUGAUCAGCUUUUGAAAGGCGGCGUAAGCUGUCGCUAAGGGAUGGCCCCGCGGUGCAUUAGCUAGUUGGUAAGGUAACGGCUUACCAAGGCGACGAUGCAUAGCCGAGUUGAGAGACUGAUCGGCCACAUUGGGACUGAGACACGGCCCAACUCCUACGGGAGGCAGCAGUAGGGAAUCUUCCACAAUGGACGCAAGUCUGAUGGAGCAACGCCGCGUGAGUGAAGAAGGUUUUCGGAUCGUAAAGCUCUGUUGUUGGUGAAAAGGAUAGAGGUAGUAACUGGCCUUUAUUUGACGGUAAUCAACCAGAAAGUCACGGCUAACUACGUGCCAGCAGCCGCGGUAAUACGUAGGUGGCAAGCGUUGUCCGGAUUUAUUGGGCGU
RNAcentral lists this ribosomal RNA (540 nucleotides) under Lactobacillus sp. DumLac48. RNAcentral's name for it is "bacterial SSU rRNA". It matches the Rfam family "Bacterial small subunit ribosomal RNA", at positions 51 to 561 of the family's 1533-position model. The record is from RNAcentral. Lineage: Bacteria; Bacillati; Bacillota; Bacilli; Lactobacillales; Lactobacillaceae.